This 511-nucleotide unclassified non-coding RNA is filed under the name uncultured Glomus. RNAcentral's name for it is "SSU rRNA". It matches the Rfam family "Eukaryotic small subunit ribosomal RNA", at positions 569 to 1085 of the family's 1831-position model. The record is from RNAcentral. Lineage: Eukaryota; Fungi; Glomeromycota; Glomeromycetes; Glomerales; Glomeraceae.
AGCAGCCGCGGUAAUUCCAGCUCCAAUAGCGUAUAUUAAAGUUGUUGCAGUUAAAAGCUCGUAGUUGAAUUUCGGGAUCAAAGGAUCGGUCAUGCCUUGGUAUGUACUGGUUUUAUUGGUUCCCACCUUCUAAAGAACCAUAAUGUCAUUCAUUUGAUGUUAUGGGGAAUUAGGACUGUUACCUUGAAAAAUUAGAGUGUUUAAAGCAGGCUUACGCUUGAAUACAUUAGCAUGGAAUAAUGAAAUAGGACAUCAGAUUCUAUUUUGUUGGUUUCUAGGAUCGAUGUAAUGAUUAAUAGGGAUAGUUGGGGGCAUUAGUAUUCAAUUGUCAGAGGUGAAAUUCUUGGAUUUAUUGAAGACUAACUACUGCGAAAGCAUUUGCCAAGGAUGUUUUCAUUAAUCAAGAACGAAAGUUAGGGAUCGAAGACGAUCAGAUACCGUCGUAGUCUUAACCAUAAACUAUGCCGACUAGGGAUCGGAUGAUGUUAAUUUUAUAAUGACUCAUUCGGUA